Molecule: ribosomal RNA, 872 nt
Filed under: Trichoderma parareesei
Lineage: Eukaryota; Fungi; Ascomycota; Sordariomycetes; Hypocreales; Hypocreaceae
Description: LSU rRNA
Rfam family: Eukaryotic large subunit ribosomal RNA
Source: RNAcentral
UAGCAUAUCAAUAAGCGGAGGAAAAGAAACCAACAGGGAUUGCCCCAGUAACGGCGAGUGAAGCGGCAACAGCUCAAAUUUGAAAUCUGGCCCUUACGGGUCCGAGUUGUAAUUUGUAGAGGAUGCUUUUGGCAAGGCGCCGCCCGAGUUCCCUGGAACGGGACGCCACAGAGGGUGAGAGCCCCGUCUGGCUGGCCGCCGAGCCUCUGUAAAGCUCCUUCGACGAGUCGAGUAGUUUGGGAAUGCUGCUCAAAAUGGGAGGUAUAUGUCUUCUAAAGCUAAAUAUUGGCCAGAGACCGAUAGCGCACAAGUAGAGUGAUCGAAAGAUGAAAAGCACCUUGAAAAGAGGGUUAAAUAGUACGUGAAAUUGUUGAAAGGGAAGCGCUUGUGACCAGACUUGGGCGCGGCGGAUCAUCCGGGGUUCUCCCCGGUGCACUUCGCCGUGUCCAGGCCAGCAUCAGUUCGUCGCGGGGGAAAAAGGCUUCGGGAACGUGGCUCCCCUGGGAGUGUUAUAGCCCGUUGCAUAAUACCCUGCGGUGGACUGAGGACCGCGCAUCUGCAAGGAUGCUGGCGUAAUGGUCACCAGCGACCCGUCUUGAAACACGGACCAAGGAGUCGUCUUCGUAUGCGAGUGUUCGGGUGUCAAACCCCUACGCGUAAUGAAAGUGAACGCAGGUGAGAGCUUCGGCGCAUCAUCGACCGAUCCUGAUGUUCUCGGAUGGAUUUGAGUAAGAGCAUACGGGGCCGGACCCGAAAGAAGGUGAACUAUGCCUGUAUAGGGUGAAGCCAGAGGAAACUCUGGUGGAGGCUCGCAGCGGUUCUGACGUGCAAAUCGAUCGUCAAAUAUGGGCAUGGGGGCGAAAGACUAAUCU